AUUGAACGCUGGCGGCAGGCCUAACACAUGCAAGUCGAACGGUAACAGGAAGCAGCUUGCUGCUUUGCUGACGAGUGGCGGACGGGUGAGUAAUGUCUGGGAAACUGCCUGAUGGAGGGGGAUAACUACUGGAAACGGUAGCUAAUACCGCAUAACGUCGCAAGACCAAAGAGGGGGACCUUCGGGCCUCUUGCCAUCGGAUGUGCCCAGAUGGGAUUAGCUAGUAGGUGGGGUAACGGCUCACCUAGGCGACGAUCCCUAGCUGGUCUGAGAGGAUGACCAGCCACACUGGAACUGAGACACGGUCCAGACUCCUACGGGAGGCAGCAGUGGGGAAUAUUGCACAAUGGGCGCAAGCCUGAUGCAGCCAUGCCGCGUGUAUGAAGAAGGCCUUCGGGUUGUAAAGUACUUUCAGCGGGGAGGAAGGGAGUAAAGUUAAUACCUUUGCUCAUUGACGUUACCCGCAGAAGAAGCACCGGCUAACUCCGUGC
This 491-nucleotide ribosomal RNA is filed under the name uncultured bacterium. Its description in RNAcentral is "partial 16S ribosomal RNA". It matches the Rfam family "Bacterial small subunit ribosomal RNA", at positions 30 to 508 of the family's 1533-position model. The record is from RNAcentral.